This 362-nucleotide long non-coding RNA is filed under the name Phoenix dactylifera (date palm). RNAcentral describes it as "long non-coding RNA (PDAC_LNC011643)". The record is from RNAcentral. Lineage: Eukaryota; Viridiplantae; Streptophyta; Magnoliopsida; Arecales; Arecaceae.
ACUUUUCCAAAUCAAACAAGUCCUAUUUUCGACCAACCCAAAAAUAUUUUAAUCCACCAAUAUUUUCAAGAUUUACUAAUUGACUUUUCAUCAAAAUAUCAAUCUUAAUUGUUUCAAGUCUCAAGUAGAGCCAAAUAAAAAUUCUUAAGUCUCAUCCCCAAGUAUAUUUUCUAUCUACAUAAGAGUUUCAUACAUGAUCUACAUACAAAUUUCAAUCCUCGAAGAAUAUUUCAAUGAAUAUUAUAAAAUAUUUUCUUGUCCAAACUUUAAACAACUUUUUAUAAAGGAACCUCAACUUGCCACCAAAAUAAUUAACUUGAACUAGAGGCAAUAUCCACAGUGCCUGAUAUCAAGUUAAACUU